CCAGUAGUCGCAUUCGAAUUUGCUUUGAAUGGCAUGGGUCGUAAAUGCCGGUAUAAAUAAUUCAGUGUUUUAAGUGAUUAAAAAGGAUUAAAAGUGCGUAGGUGAAUUACAUUGAGUCUAAUUGAAAGUUCACAGAUUUCGUCGUAUUCCUUCGUCAUGUUCCUUCGUCGUGUUUCUCACAAAUCGUUGCGUGCGUCAUUACAUUAACUUGUACAUUUGGCAUUAUAAUGGUGAGUUCAAUUUAUA
RNAcentral lists this unclassified non-coding RNA (246 nucleotides) under Bombus terrestris (buff-tailed bumblebee). RNAcentral's name for it is "misc RNA ENSBTSG00005029116.1". The record is from RNAcentral. Lineage: Eukaryota; Metazoa; Arthropoda; Insecta; Hymenoptera; Apidae.